GUACGUGUCUACGUAUUCGUGUCGUCAGUGGACAGUGACAUAUAUUGAAGACCACGGGAGUUAGGAAGCUAGCAGUGGGUGUAAGUGACGAGGCGUUGAGCAGCUCGUCACCACCAUUACCACCACCACCGCAGCUGCCAGUCCCCGCUGCUGGCGGAGCGAGAGUCACCACUACAAGCAGCGUUGUGAGAACGAGACCCUCCCUCACACGCACUACAGGGCUGAUGAUUCUCAACACCCUCAACACUGAUAACGUGGACAGCACCUUUAAAACUGCUACAUUUAGCCACCUCGGACUGGAAGUGUUGCCACGGUGACGGUGGUGGUGGGCAUGAUACAGAUGCGGGAGCUGGAGUUUGUGCCCGAUAGAGACAUGCAGCUGGACAAAUUCUGUUGGUCAUUGGUCAGACUGGAGUUUACAUGUGUACCUCCUUCACCAUCAUUGGUGGACACUUCACCAUGAGUGAUGCUUGAGCUGUCACGGUGCUGCUGCUGCUGUCUGCCAUCAUCACCCUGACACAGACCACCCUGCAGACCACCUUCAUCCUGGGUGCCACACGUCACUGCUGCUACAACUCAGAGCAACUGGAGCGCAAGCCAGGAAGGGAGAUGGUUACCUUCUUGUUGAUGUGCAAUCUUGCUACGUGGGCGAUCAACAUUUAAAAAUAGCAAUGUGGUGCUUCCUUAAUGCAAAUAGUCUUGGCCCAAAAAACUUGUGAUGUCAAACACUAACUUCUCUUAAAUCUUACUAAAAUGUAUGCGCAUCACUUUCUGAUUUCAUCCCAGUGGCACACAAACCAAAAUACCUGAGUAUGGAGAUGGCUGGACUACCUCCUUUGGCCACCCCUGUUAUAUCUUAAUUUCCCACUGUCUUUCCUGUGUACUGGUUAAGCUACUCACUGCUGAAGUCCCUGGAAACUAGGUAGAAUAAUUUAGAAUGACAUGGUUAAGUUAAUGCUGAUAAAAUCUCAUUUGUAAUAUUCAGGAAGAUUGAAUUAUUCUUCCUCUGUUGAAGCAAAUGAUAUAACGUUGACUAGAAGCUUUCACAAUAUUUAUAAGCUUUCUUGUAUCAGAGAUCUUUUGAAAAUCCAACCAUUAAUUUGUAAAUACUUGUAUAGUGUAGCUGGCAUGAGGGUUGCAGUCUUCAUUAUUUACUAGUGGACAAGCAACAAGUGAUGGUGUGACUCUGAGGCACUGUAGUAGGGAUGUUAUGGUUUAAGUGUAGGAAGUUGCAAAUGCUCACCUAACAAUUGCACCUUAGUAGAAAAACACAAACAGGAAGUUUAUGCAAGUUUUUAUCCUUAUAUAAAAUGUUGUAUUGCAUCAAACCUCCAUACAUUACUGUCUCUAUCCAGUAUGAGACCGGUGUUCAGGAAGCACAAGCAUGUGCUGAAUAACAAGAAGCCGGCAUUGGUGAAGGUGACAACAUUUCAUCUAUUUAUACAUACUUUUUAUUAUUAAAGCUUAUCUUAUAAUUAUUUCUGAAGAGAUUGACUAAUUUUUGUAGUAUUUAUGACUUAGAACUAUGAUAAAGCUAUGAAUUGAUAUAAUUCCUGAUUUG
This is a long non-coding RNA of Scylla paramamosain (green mud crab), 1561 nucleotides long. RefSeq lists it as uncharacterized. The transcript is spliced from 6 exons. The record is from RefSeq and is a predicted model, not a curated record. NCBI's taxonomy places the organism in Eukaryota, Metazoa, Arthropoda, Malacostraca, Decapoda, Portunidae.